This 25-nucleotide unclassified non-coding RNA is filed under the name Mus musculus (house mouse). Its description in RNAcentral is "oocyte_clustered_small_RNA6318". The record is from RNAcentral. Lineage: Eukaryota; Metazoa; Chordata; Mammalia; Rodentia; Muridae.
UCGAUAGUGCCAGGCAGAUAGUCAG